RNAcentral lists this ribosomal RNA (116 nucleotides) under Escherichia coli. Lineage: Bacteria; Pseudomonadati; Pseudomonadota; Gammaproteobacteria; Enterobacterales; Enterobacteriaceae. RNAcentral also lists the same sequence under 2 other names. The record is from RNAcentral.
UCUGGCAGCAGUAGCGCGGUGGUCCCACCUGACCCCAUGCCGAACUCAGAAGUGAAACGCCGUAGCGCCGAUGGUAGUGUGGGGUCUCCCCAUGCGAGAGUAGGGAACUGCCAGAC